GCGAGAAUGCGUCCCCGCCCCCGCCCGGUCUUCCGCGAGGACCCUGCCCGUCCGCGCUCUGUCACCUCAUAGUAGUCGUUGCCGGUGGCGGGUGCGGGGGCGCGAGCAGCGCUGGGCGGCCUCUCCCCCGCCCCUCAGGCCGGGCCCGGGCUCGGUCUCCCCCCCUCCCUCCGCUCCCCGCCCCCGUCGGGUACGGGAAGGUCCUAGCCGCUGCCGGGUGCCUGAGGGACUUCGUGGCCGCAGCCGCCACGGGUCCCGAUGGAGCCGCCGAAUCUCUAUCCGGUGAAGCUCUACGUGUACGACCUGUCCAAGGGCCUGGCCCGACGGCUCAGCCCCAUCAUGCUGGGGAAACAACUGGAAGGCAUCUGGCACACCUCCAUAGUUGUACACAAGGAUGAGUUCUUCUUCGGCAGUGGUGGUAUCUCCAGCUGUCCACCGGGAGGGACAUUGCUUGGGCCCCCAGACUCUGUGGUUGAUGUGGGGAGCACAGAAGUCACAGAAGAAAUCUUUCUGGAGUACCUAUCCUCCCUGGGGGAGUCUCUGUUCCGAGGUGAGGCCUACAACCUCUUCGAACACAACUGUAAUACCUUCAGCAAUGAAGUGGCACAGUUCCUGACCGGGCGGAAGAUCCCUUCGUACAUCACUGACCUUCCCUCUGAAGUUCUGUCCACCUCAUGGCAGUGCCAGAUCCUUCGAAACCAGGGAUCCAACCCGCAUCCUCAUGGAUCCUAGUCGGGUUUGUAACCCACUGAGCCAUGACGGGAACUACUGUACCUGAAUAUUCCCUGUGCCCCGGAGAAGACCUCAGUUCCCUGAGGAGUCCAAUUGUGUGCUGUCUUCACUGCUGACUUCUUUUUCAUAUCCUUUUUCUUCUUACCUCGGCUUCCUAAUUUAAACUUUAUCUUCUUGUACCAUGAGAAUUAAAGAUUCAAGCAUGGAAAGUACAGAAAGCUCUGGUUCCCGGUAUGUACCCAACCUGUUCAAACCACAGCUAACCGGGACCUAGAGGGGAAGGUAGCAGGACGGUAGCAUUUACUGAGGAGAGAACGCUAGGAGUGAACACAGAGCAGACUAACGCAGAGAUCCCUCUGAGAAAAAGGCUGUGUGAGUCAGGCCCUUCGGACAGGCCCUGCGGCCCCUCCUGGACUCCAUCCAGAUCCAGCCUCCCGGAGGGAGCACAGUGGGCCGACCCAACGGCCAGAGCUAACAGGACUCCAUGGGACCGCCCUGCCUCACCGGGGCUUUUCCUUUUUAAACAAAACAAACCCUACCAGAUUUCUAUUUUAUAAUUUUACAUCAGAGCUAACAACCAGGGGACGGCUUUUUAAAUUUCCCAGGGAAGGAGCUCAUCAGGCUGCACAUAGGACAAUGCUGCUAAGAAACAGAACAAAAUGCCAUCCCUUCUAAUAGUAUUAUACUAAUUUAUUAAGGCUGUCUUGUUUGUGAGUUCACUUUUGACGCUGCUUCCUGAGCGUCCUCCACACUGGAGAAAGGGAGGGGAUUUGUUUAAGCAGAAAGCAAGCGGCACAGUGUGGGGAACCCCAACCUAGGACCUCUUUCCGGAGAAUGCCCACGCUCUACCCAGGUUGCCACCACCUGUGGGAGCCAGGUGGGUUUUACGUUUUCCAUGACCUGGAAGUGGUUACUCUCUAGCAUUAAAUGAACCAAAGGAUAUGGUGCACGUGGGACCACUUUCAAGAUGACUCAGCCAACCUAAAGGAACUCUUUAGCCACAGUCUCUCCCACCUUUCCUCUCCUCCCUCAGUCAAGGCCACGGGGCCCGGGCUGGAGCAACCCAAAGCCUCAGGAUCGAGGGAGAGCAACAGCAAGUGUCAGGCCAGAAGAAACAGGAUAAAGCCAUUCUUCCUUCCACCUAGACUGUGUACCAAUCCUCUGACGUGGAUUUUGGAGACCUGCCUAGCUGUCUGCUGACUGUUCUUCCCCAGCAUAGCUGCCCUGUCACAGCUAGUGAGGGUCGGGAGCAGCAGCAACCCAGCCCUGUUGUCUGCGAGUGGUCCUGCAGGUUAUUGCAGUCACUGUGCCCCCCCAGCCAGAGCAGUGUGCCGUGCGCAGCUCGGGGCCAAGGGGCAACGUCCCCGACGCAGAAAGAAUAGGAAGGCCGAAUCCAGGUGGCAGGGAAAUUUAGGGUUGUUUCUGGUAGGGAUUUUUACGAGAUCCUAAGUGUGUUUCAAAGGCACGUGUUAUUUCCGGUGUCAUUCUGACUGUAAGGAAGCGAGGUUGAGGGUGUAAGUGGGCAUUUUCCUAAAGAGCUGCUGCUAGGAGCUUAUAGGCAGGAAACAGUCUGGAAGCUUCUCACCUGGAGAGGCUCUCAGAGUCUUUCUUCAAGUGAGCCUCCUUUAAGUUGAGAAAGUGAAUGUGGAGGAGGGGCUCAGAUCUUCUCAGUACCUGAGUCCAGCCUUGGCACUUGGGCCCCUCCUGCCACGGCUCCUGCCACUUCUCAGACUUGAAUUAUGUUCUCUUUCCUGGGGUCUGGCCUGCAGCAGGUGCCUUUCCUCUCCAAAAAGCUGUUGCUCACGUCUGGCCUCAUCUCCUCCCAUCUCUGCUGUUAGCCAUGGCAGUUGGCAUCACCAGGGUCUUAGCUAGAGAUGUUAUUCUGCAUUAGUGUUUGCCUGUCACCUGACUGGGCACAUGUGUGAUGACUAGCUGUGAUGGCAAGGGACACUUUGGAACUUUCACGGUUGGAAGACAAACCAUUAAGCACUUUAAUUUUUCUGAAGACCCACUGACUUGCCAGUGUGCAUGGUAAUGAGACAUUAGAGUAGAAACUAGCACCGGCUCUUAUUUAAUGUUGACCCUCUGGCAGAAUUGGGCCACGGCGAGUGGGUUUCGGGCGGGCUUCCUCCUGGGAGGGCAGCGCGUUGGUCGAGGACGUUGCUCUGCUUCCCAGCUGGGUUUCUGCCCUUUUCCAGCUUGCCUCGCCCAGCCCUCGCUCUCUUCCAGGCCCCUGCUCCAGACCUCUCUGCCCAGGGCACUCAGCUCUAGCCAGAGGGUGAUGGGCAUCAAGGCUCCUUCUUUCCCCUCCCCCAUAUCCAGGCUCAGCUGAUUUCUUUCCCUCCCCCAGUGCUCACCUCCAGACCCAGGGCUGUACCAAGAAGUUAGCCCACGUGGCUCCCCUGAGAGACUUUGAGUCACUUGCUCAUUGAAAGCCACCCUUCAUGCCCAACAGCUAUUUGUGCCAAUGCCUGUGCCUUAGGGUUUGUGGGGAGAGAAGGAGAGGUCAGUAAGCCGUCUUCUCAGAGCUUUGCAGGAAGGCGAGCUCUCCCUCCCCCACCCAAGGCCCAAGGUCACUAACUGGAACCCCGGGCCCGGCGAGGACCCCACCCCCACCCCAUCCUCACAUUUCUCUGUCUACCCCAGAACCUCAGGAGCCUGCUCAUCGUACGAGCUGGCUCCGCACGGGUGUGCGCAGGCGAGCAGGGUGAGAGCAAGCUGUGUGUGUGAUUGUAUCGCCUCCAUCGAGGCCCAUUGGUUUAAAGGGACAGGGAAGGAGGAGGAGGGAUGAGACCGUCACCCCCUCCCAGAAAUGAAGUUUGUACCUUUGCGAUCCCUUUUCACCCUUGAAAUCAAACUAAUAAUGGUAUCUAGUAUGGAGGUGUUUGCUGUUUUCCUUUGGUAUUUUUUCUAAUGCAAUAAAUUCACUUCUGCCUGCUU
Molecule: RNA transcript, 3672 nt
Organism: Phacochoerus africanus (Common warthog)
Lineage: Eukaryota; Metazoa; Chordata; Mammalia; Artiodactyla; Suidae
Gene: DESI1
Gene name: desumoylating isopeptidase 1
Exons: 7
Source: RefSeq, a predicted model, not a curated record